AAAAAAACAUUUGUCCUCAAAUGUUAAAACAACAUAUAACAUAUAGGCAAAGAAACAUGCAAGCAUGCAAAACUUAAAACUCAGCCUUGCUUCCUACUUCCAUAAGCUUCUGCUACGCUACUCUGAUCUUUCUUUUCUUCUCCUUCUUUGCUUUUACCUUUUUCCUUUCUGCCUUUUCUGCUCUUACUCCUUUCUGUUCUCCUCUUUCUUCCUACUCUUACUUACUUAUUCUUUUCUUCUUUUCUUUUUUUUUUCUACUCUUUCUUUCUUUCUCUAUUCUUACUCUUUCUUUGUACUUAUCGAAGCUCUGCUCUAACCUUUUACUUACCUGAACCUGAAUCCCUGGUCUAUCCUGCUUUUCCCACACAUCACUGGAACAUUCCAGGGUGAGGUACUAGGUCAGAUAAACCAUCGUCUACUAGCUGCCUUACAGCACUACUCAUCCACUUCUCUUAUACCUCUUACCUCUCAAAAACUCUUAGAACUUAGACCAACACAUCAAAGUUCACAACAUAUGAGUGUAUCCGAGGGUGAACAUACCUAACCCCAUUAGGUUUGAUGUGUCAGUCUCCUGUUGAGUCCAAGUGAAGAUCCGUAUCGGAGCUGACGGAUUCGCUCCAGGAAAACCUACCAAAGAAGAAGGUACGCCUCUCUCUCCACCUAGAUUACUACCUUGAUCCACAGCCGGAACUGCUGGCUGAGCUGCUUCUCCUGAAACUGUUUGCUGUGGCCGUGCCCUGUUACGCACAGUAGGACACUCACGUGCAAAGUGCCCUUCUUGUUUACACCGAUAACAAGCAGUUGUCCGCGCUAGACACGUUCCUCCAUGCGAUCUUCCACAUCUCGUACAUCUUAUAGGGCCUGAACCAGAGGCAUCCAGACUAGCCUUCAGCCUCUGCCAAAACUUACCCUUCUUUGACCUUCUCCGACCUCUGGUCUUCUUCUUUCCUCUUGUGGCUGCUGUGCUCAGAGUGGAGGGCUCAACUUCUCCUGUGCUUGAGUUUUUGGACUCCUUGG
This 1017-nucleotide long non-coding RNA is filed under the name Manihot esculenta (cassava). RNAcentral's name for it is "long non-coding RNA (MESC_LNC006676)". The record is from RNAcentral. Lineage: Eukaryota; Viridiplantae; Streptophyta; Magnoliopsida; Malpighiales; Euphorbiaceae.